Molecule: ribosomal RNA, 466 nt
Filed under: uncultured bacterium
Lineage: Bacteria
Description: partial 16S ribosomal RNA
Rfam family: Bacterial small subunit ribosomal RNA
Source: RNAcentral
GAUGAACGCUGGCGGCGUGCUUAACACAUGCAAGUCGAACGAUGAAGCCCAGCUUGCUGGGUGGAUUAGUGGCGAACGGGUGAGUAACACGUGAGUAACCUGCCCUUAACUCUGGGAUAGGCCUGGGAAACUGGGUCUAAUACCGGAUAGGAGCGUCCACCGCAUGGUGGGUGUUGGAAAGAUUUAUCGGUUUUGGAUGGACUCGCGGCCUAUCAGCUUGUUGGUGAGGUAAUGGCUCACCAAGGCGACGACGGGUAGCCGGCCUGAGAGGGUGACCGGCCACACUGGGACUGAGACACGGCCCAGACUCCUACGGGAAGCAGCAGUGGGGAAUAUUGCACAAUGGGCGCAAGCCUGAUGCAGCGACGCCGCGUGAGGGAUGACGGCCUUCGGGUUGUAAACCUCUUUCAGUAGGGAAGAAGCGAAAGUGACGGUACCUGCAGAAGAAGCACCGGCUAACUACGUG